This 1488-nucleotide ribosomal RNA is filed under the name Klebsiella pneumoniae. Its description in RNAcentral is "partial 23S ribosomal RNA". It matches the Rfam family "Bacterial large subunit ribosomal RNA", at positions 1 to 1527 of the family's 2925-position model. The record is from RNAcentral. RNAcentral also lists the same sequence under 1 other name. Lineage: Bacteria; Pseudomonadati; Pseudomonadota; Gammaproteobacteria; Enterobacterales; Enterobacteriaceae.
GGGUUGUGAGGUUAAGCGACUAAGCGUACACGGUGGAUGCCCUGGCAGUCAGAGGCGAUGAAGGACGUGCUAAUCUGCGAAAAGCGUCGGUAAGGUGAUAUGAACCGUUAUAACCGGCGAUGUCCGAAUGGGGAAACCCAGUGCAAUUCGUUGCACUAUCGUUAACUGAAUACAUAGGUUAACGAGGCGAACCGGGGGAACUGAAACAUCUAAGUACCCCGAGGAAAAGAAAUCAACCGAGAUUCCCCCAGUAGCGGCGAGCGAACGGGGAGCAGCCCAGAGUCUGAAUCAGCUUGUGUGUUAGUGGAACGGUCUGGAAAGUCCGACGGUACAGGGUGAUAGUCCCGUACACCAAAAUGCACAGGCUGUGAACUCGAAGAGUAGGGCGGGACACGUGGUAUCCUGUCUGAAUAUGGGGGGACCAUCCUCCAAGGCUAAAUACUCCUGACUGACCGAUAGUGAACCAGUACCGUGAGGGAAAGGCGAAAAGAACCCCGGCGAGGGGAGUGAAAAAGAACCUGAAACCGUGUACGUACAAGCAGUGGGAGCACCUUCGGGUGUGACUGCGUACCUUUUGUAUAAUGGGUCAGCGACUUAUAUUCUGUAGCAAGGUUAACCGUAUAGGGGAGCCGCAGGGAAACCGAGUCUUAACUGGGCGUUAAGUUGCAGGGUAUAGACCCGAAACCCGGUGAUCUAGCCAUGGGCAGGUUGAAGGUUGGGUAACACUAACUGGAGGACCGAACCGACUAAUGUUGAAAAAUUAGCGGAUGACUUGUGGCUGGGGGUGAAAGGCCAAUCAAACCGGGAGAUAGCUGGUUCUCCCCGAAAGCUAUUUAGGUAGCGCCUCGUGAACUCAUCUUCGGGGGUAGAGCACUGUUUCGGCUAGGGGGUCAUCCCGACUUACCAACCCGAUGCAAACUACGAAUACCGAAGAAUGUUAUCACGGGAGACACACGGCGGGUGCUAACGUCCGUCGUGAAGAGGGAAACAACCCAGACCGCCAGCUAAGGUCCCAAAGUCAUGGUUAAGUGGGAAACGAUGUGGGAAGGCACAGACAGCCAGGAUGUUGGCUUAGAAGCAGCCAUCAUUUAAAGAAAGCGUAAUAGCUCACUGGUCGAGUCGGCCUGCGCGGAAGAUGUAACGGGGCUAAACCAUGCACCGAAGCUGCGGCAGCGACACUAUGUGUUGUUGGGUAGGGGAGCGUUCUGUAAGCCUGCGAAGGUGUGCUGUGAGGCAUGCUGGAGGUAUCAGAAGUGCGAAUGCUGACAUAAGUAACGAUAAAGCGGGUGAAAAGCCCGCUCGCCGGAAGACCAAGGGUUCCUGUCCAACGUUAAUCGGGGCAGGGUGAGUCGACCCCUAAGGCGAGGCCGAAAGGCGUAGUCGAUGGGAAACAGGUUAAUAUUCCUGUACUUGGUGUUACUGCGAAGGGGGGACGGAGAAGGCUAUGUUAGCCGGGCGACGGUUGUCCCGGUUUAAGCAUGUAGGCUG